GAUGAACGCUGGCGGCGUGCCUAAUACAUGCAAGUCGAGCGAACGGACGAGAAGCUUGCUUCUCUGAUGUUAGCGGCGGACGGGUGAGUAACACGUGGAUAACCUACCUAUAAGACUGGGAUAACUUCGGGAAACCGGAGCUAAUACCGGAUAAUAUUUUGAACCGCAUGGUUCAAAAGUGAAAGACGGUCUUGCUGUCACUUAUAGAUGGAUCCGCGCUGCAUUAGCUAGUUGGUAAGGUAACGGCUUACCAAGGCAACGAUGCAUAGCCGACCUGAGAGGGUGAUCGGCCACACUGGAACUGAGACACGGUCCAGACUCCUACGGGAGGCAGCAGUAGGGAAUCUUCCGCAAUGGGCGAAAGCCUGACGGAGCAACGCCGCGUGAGUGAUGAAGGUCUUCGGAUCGUAAAACUCUGUUAUUAGGGAAGAACAUAUGUGUAAGUAACUGUGCACAUCUUGACGGUACCUAAUCAGAAAGCCACGGCUAACUACGUGCCAGCAGCCGCGGUAAUACGUAGGUGGCAAGCGUUAUCCGGAAUUUAUGGGCGUAAAGCGCGCGUAGCGGUUUUUUAGUCUGAUGUGAAAGCCCACGGCUCAACCGUGGAGGGUCAUUGGAAACUGGAAAACUUGAGUGCAGAAGAGGAAAGUGGAAUUCCAUGUGUAGCGGUGAAAUGCGCAGAGAUAUGGAGGAACACCAGUGGCGAAGGCGACUUUCUGGUCUGUAACUGACGCUGAUGUGCGAAAGCGUGGGGAUCAAACAGGAUUAGAUACCCUGGUAGUCCACGCCGUAAACGAUGAGUGCUAAGUGUUAGGGGGUUUCCGCCCCUUAGUGCUGCAGCUAACGCAUUAAGCACUCCGCCUGGGGAGUACGACCGCAAGGUUGAAACUCAAAGGAAUUGACGGGGACCCGCACAAGCGGUGGAGCAUGUGGUUUAAUUCGAAGCAACGCGAAGAACCUUACCAAAUCUUGACAUCCUUUGACAACUCUAGAGAUAGAGCCUUCCCCUUCGGGGGACAAAGUGACAGGUGGUGCAUGGUUGUCGUCAGCUCGUGUCGUGAGAUGUUGGGUUAAGUCCCGCAACGAGCGCAACCCUUAAGCUUAGUUGCCAUCAUUAAGUUGGGCACUCUAAGUUGACUGCCGGUGACAAACCGGAGGAAGGUGGGGAUGACGUCAAAUCAUCAUGCCCCUUAUGAUUUGGGCUACACACGUGCUACAAUGGACAAUACAAAGGGCAGCGAAACCGCGAGGUCAAGCAAAUCCCAUAAAGUUGUUCUCAGUUCGGAUUGUAGUCUGCAACUCGACUACAUGAAGCUGGAAUCGCUAGUAAUCGUAGAUCAGCAUGCUACGGUGAAUACGUUCCCGGGUCU
RNAcentral lists this ribosomal RNA (1370 nucleotides) under uncultured bacterium. RNAcentral's name for it is "bacterial SSU rRNA". It matches the Rfam family "Bacterial small subunit ribosomal RNA", at positions 28 to 1381 of the family's 1533-position model. The record is from RNAcentral.